AGAGUUUGAUCAUGGCUCAGAACGAACGCUGGCGGCAGGCUUAACACAUGCAAGUCGAACGCUCGUAGCAAUACGGGAGUGGCAGACGGGUGAGUAACGCGUGGGAACAUACCCUCCGGUUCGGAAUAGCUCAGGGAAACUUGGAUUAAUACCGGAUACGGCCGAGAGGCGAAAGAUUUAUCGCCGGAGGAUUGGCCCGCGUUCGAUUAGCUUGUUGGUGAGGUAAUGGCUCACCAAGGCGAUGAUCGAUAGCUGGUCUGAGAGGAUGAUCAGCCACAUUGGGACUGAGACACGGCCCAAACUCCUACGGGAGGCAGCAGUGGGGAAUAUUGGACAAUGGGCGCAAGCCUGAUCCAGCCAUGCCGCGUGAGUGAUGACGGCCUUAGGGUUGUAAAGCUCUUUCGCUCGGGACGAUAAUGACGGUACCGAGAUAAGAAGCCCCGGCUAACUUCGUGCCAGCAGCCGCGGUAAUACGAAGGGGGCUAGCGUUGUUCGGAAUUACUGGGCGUAAAGCGCGUGUAGGCGGGUCUUUAAGUCAGGGGUGAAAUGCCAAGGCUCAACCUUGGAACUGCCUUUGAUACUGAAGACCUUGAGUCCGGGAGAGGUGAGUGGAAUUGCGAGUGUAGAGGUGAAAUUCGUAGAUAUUCGCAAGAACACCAGUGGCGAAGGCGGCUCACUGGCCCGGAACUGACGCUGAGACGCGAAAGCGUGGGGAGCAAACAGGAUUAGAUACCCCGGUAGUCC
Molecule: ribosomal RNA, 744 nt
Filed under: uncultured bacterium
Lineage: Bacteria
Description: bacterial SSU rRNA
Rfam family: Bacterial small subunit ribosomal RNA
Source: RNAcentral